UACAGAGGUCUCAAGCGUUGUUCGGAUUCAUUGGGCGUAAAGGGUGCGUAGGCGGGUCUUUAAGUCAGGGGUGAAAUCCUGGAGCUCAACUCCAGAACUGCCUUUGAUACUGAAGAUCUUGAGUUCGGGAGAGGUGAGUGGAACUGCGAGUGUAGAGGUGAAAUUCGUAGAUAUUCGCAAGAACACCAGUGGCGAAUGCGGCUCACUGGCCCGAUACUGACGCUGAGGCACGAAAGCGUGGGGAGCAAACAGG
RNAcentral lists this ribosomal RNA (253 nucleotides) under uncultured bacterium. Its description in RNAcentral is "partial 16S ribosomal RNA". It matches the Rfam family "Bacterial small subunit ribosomal RNA", at positions 524 to 776 of the family's 1533-position model. The record is from RNAcentral.